GAUCCUCCUGCCUUAGCCUCCCAAAUCACUCAGAUUACAGGCAUGUGCCACCAUGCUUGGCUUUCAUAUAUAUAGUUUUAAUCAGAUGUGAUGAGAAGAUAAAAAAAAUCACAGCUAGUAUAAAGCAAUUUCAUAACAACAUGUAUAAUCCUAUUUAUAGCGUGCUUGCAUAGAAAUUGGAAGAAAACACAUAAACCUAUUGACAUUAAUUCUGAUGAAAGAGGUUGAGAACAGGUGGGGAGUGGGCAGGUGAGGAAGGGGAAAAUUGAAAUAUAUAUUUCUCUACCAAGAUGAAGCUUCCCAGGAUAGGAGGGAAACUGAAAGAACCCAUCUUGGAACUGAUGGAGAAGAGCUUGGUAGCCAGAAACUACUCGACUGAUUUGCCUGGCUCCAUUGCUCACCAUUUCUUUGGUUAUUGUAUUAUUGCUAAAGAAGUAAGUAAAAUCCCAACAGAUAAUUUGGUUGGUCAAGUGCCAUCCAUUGUUCUAUCAAGAUGCACAGAGAAAGAAUCUAAGGGAAAGAGUUCCUAGGGAACUCCUUGGUUUCUGUUAAAGGAGGGAAAACACUUGAUUUUAAUCUUCCAACAAAGGCUAUACAACAGAGGUGGUGAGUUAAUUGCUUGAAAGAACACCAGAAUACUCAGAGGAAGAAUAUGGAUGCUGGAAGCUAAAAAUGACAAAUUUCCAGUUCACUAAAUCCACCCCUUUCACACACACUUUUUAUCUAUACCUUGAUCCUGGGACUUUUUUUACACUUGACCCAACCCAAGCCUUCUGGUAUGAUUUUAACACUUCCUGAAUAUUGACAGACCAUGUGUUAAGGGGUCAGGAGAGAGGAGAAGUGCAAGAUGGGCAGGUAGGGCAGUUAGGGUUCACAUUUGCUUUGAUUCUAUUCCUGUGCCUGUGCCAAAAAGCCUUUUUGGUGCCUGAUACUUAAACUUUUGAAGUUGAAUUACAAAUUUUAAAAAAGUAUUCAUCUAGCUUUUCUAACAACCUACAUCUCUGAUGGUGGAGCCAUUCUUUGCUAUGCCAUAUCAGAGUGGCCAAAGGGGCAUCUCUGACUAUCUCCUGUGCUUGUGUGUGGAGUGGUGGUAGUGUCCUGCUAGAUGAUUCUCUGCCAUCUUGAGAAGGUCCAGGCUCUAAGCUGGUUAUGUAACAAUGUUCUGUUUUUCCUACAGCAGGGAUUCUUUACUUAUGAACUAUUGACCUUUUGAUAAAAAAUGGCUCAUUUUAAUCCUUUUCAUAGCUUGGGGCUGAUUUUUAAAUUUGAGUUAAUCAUGAAAGGGUAUGCAAAUUUACACUAUGAGUUCUUUGGAUGGGAAAACAAAUUCCCUAACCCACUCCAUUUCCACUAGAUAGACACAUCCAUUACUCUGGCAUCUUUCAGAAGGCUAAAAGAGCAAGGAUAAUCUUAUGCUGCCAAUGAACUAAUUAACCUCUGUUAUGAUUUGUUAGACAGCUACCAUUGAUAACAAAAAAGAAAUUUUUUCUCUCUCUUUUAUCUUUUAGUAUUAGGGAUUGAACGCAGGGGCACUUAACCACCGAGACACAUCCCCAG
This 1557-nucleotide long non-coding RNA is filed under the name Marmota monax (woodchuck). The record is from RNAcentral. Lineage: Eukaryota; Metazoa; Chordata; Mammalia; Rodentia; Sciuridae.